Lolium perenne is the source of this 617-nucleotide long non-coding RNA. RefSeq lists it as uncharacterized. NCBI's taxonomy places the organism in Eukaryota, Viridiplantae, Streptophyta, Magnoliopsida, Poales, Poaceae. The record is from RefSeq and is a predicted model, not a curated record.
AAUGUGGUAACGCAAAACCACGUUACAGCCAAGGCAGGGCAAGGAGUAUCUAUCUCACAGCCGCGAUGCGGUCCUCCACCGUGGUUCUCCUCCUCGCAAUCGCCAUGGUCGUCGUCAUAUGCUGUUCCUCGGCGGCGGUCCAAGGUGAUCCGGACGGAGACCGUGAUGGCGCCAGUCCGCCGCCGCCGAUUGGCGGGCGGGGGCGCAGGCCGGAUUGCCCGGAGUGCGACGAACCGAGCCCUCCACCGUCUCCACCGGCGGCGGGAACUUCGCAAGCUACGCCGCACCGGAAGACCCUGCUGGUUGGUACUAGCGUCCCGUAAAACCUGGCGUCUCUCGGUCAUGUUAGCUGUGGGAAUUGUACGCGGGAGCGGGAGUACGUUGUGGGUAAACUCUUGUUUUACAGCAACGGAUUACUGCUGGCUGGUACCAACUUCCCGUAAUACGACCGGCCCCUGCAUUAGCUGUGGGAUUUGCAAGCGCGUUGUCGUCUGGGUAAACUCUCUUUUUGGACAGCAGCCGAUGCGCUAGAUGGUCGGCUUCUUGUUGCGUACGUUGAUCGAUGACUAUGUUGUAUUGUACCUACUACUUUGUGAAAUACUAGUCUUCAUCGUGUU